This 496-nucleotide ribosomal RNA is filed under the name uncultured microorganism. RNAcentral's name for it is "bacterial SSU rRNA". It matches the Rfam family "Bacterial small subunit ribosomal RNA", at positions 9 to 516 of the family's 1533-position model. The record is from RNAcentral.
GAGUUUGAUCGUGGCUCAGGAUGAACGCUGGCGGCGUGCCUAACACAUGCAAGUCGAACGGAUCCAUAUUGAAACCUAGUGAUGUAUGGAUUAGUGGCGGACGGGUGAGUAACGCGUGGAUAACCUGCCGUAUACAGGGGAUAACACUUAGAAAUAGGUGCUAAUACCGCAUAAGCGCACGGUUCCGCAUGGAACAGUGUGAAAAACUUCGGUGGUAUACGAUGGAUCCGCGUCUGAUUAGCCAGUUGGCGGGGUAACGGCCCACCAAAGCGACGAUCAGUAGCCGGCCUGAGAGGGUGAACGGCCACAUUGGGACUGAGACACGGCCCAAACUCCUACGGGAGGCAGCAGUGGGGAAUAUUGCACAAUGGGGGAAACCCGUGAUGCAGCGACGCCGCGUGAGUGAAGAAGUAUCUCGGUAUGUAAAGCUCUGUCAGCAGGGAAGAAAAUGACGGUACCUGACCAAGAAGCCCCGGCUAACUACGUGCCAGCCGCC